GCGCUUGUGGUGGAAUUGGUAGACACGCCAGACUUAGGAUCUGGUGCCUUCGGGCGUGUAAGUUCGAGUCUUAUCAGGCGUACCA
RNAcentral lists this transfer RNA (85 nucleotides) under Prevotellaceae bacterium. RNAcentral describes it as "tRNA-Leu". It matches the Rfam family "tRNA". From Rfam's summary of the family: Transfer RNA (tRNA) molecules are approximately 80 nucleotides in length. Their secondary structure includes four short double-helical elements and three loops (D, anti-codon, and T loops). Lineage: Bacteria; Pseudomonadati; Bacteroidota; Bacteroidia; Bacteroidales; Prevotellaceae. The record is from RNAcentral.